RNAcentral lists this ribosomal RNA (255 nucleotides) under uncultured bacterium. RNAcentral describes it as "partial 16S ribosomal RNA". It matches the Rfam family "Bacterial small subunit ribosomal RNA", at positions 524 to 776 of the family's 1533-position model. The record is from RNAcentral.
UACGGAGGGUGCGAGCGUUAUCCGGAUUCACUGGGUUUAAAGGGUGCGUAGGUGGGAAUGUAAGUCAGUGGUGAAAUCUCUGAGCUUAACUCAGAAACUGCCAUUGAUACUAUGUUUCUUGAAUUUUUCUGGAGGUCAGCGGAAUAUGUCAUGUAGCGGUGAAAUGCUUAGAUAUGACAUAGAACACCAAUUGCGAAGGCAGCUGGCUACAGGGAUAUUGACACUGGAGGCACGAAAGCGUGGGGAGCAAACAGG